ACCUCCCAUCUUCUGGGCAUCCCGGCCGAGAUGCUGUCACGGAAAACGCUCACCUCGGCCGAGUCCUGCGUACGAGAUUACCCAUCGCCGCCUCCCUCCCAGUGACCCAGGACCACCUAUGAGCAUCAGGGCCCAGCGGAUGAUCUCAAACUCUUCACGGUUAUUACAGGUGUCAACGGGAUGGAAAUGAAGCCAGGAGCUCUGUCGAGAUUCGGCCGUCAAGAUGCAAAAAGGAGCAUUCUGCUUCCCAGCAUUCCUUGCCAAGGAUGAUCUCAGAUUCAUCUGUUCCCAUUCACAGUGAGCAAAGGCCUCAAGUUUAUUAAGGGACACAGCCCAGCCUUCCAGACCUCGGAGUGCUACCAACCUCCCACGACCACAGCCCUGAUCAGCUUGCGGGGGUGCUCAGGUCACCCACAAGUGAACACCUGCCCAGAGACGGAAUGAGCCCAACUGAAGACCACACAACCCAGCUCCCCCAACCCCAUCCCUACGCUCGUGCCUGCACUCAACCGAAAAG
Long non-coding RNA from Neofelis nebulosa (Clouded leopard), 517 nucleotides. RefSeq lists it as uncharacterized. The record is from RefSeq and is a predicted model, not a curated record. The transcript has 2 exons. Lineage: Eukaryota; Metazoa; Chordata; Mammalia; Carnivora; Felidae.